This 118-nucleotide ribosomal RNA is filed under the name Chrysemys picta bellii (western painted turtle). Lineage: Eukaryota; Metazoa; Chordata; Testudines; Emydidae. The record is from RNAcentral.
CCUAAGGCCAAGCUGGUCUGAAUGCAUCCAAUCUCAUCUCAUCUCCAAAGCUGAUCAAUAAUCAGUCUAUUUGGUACUUGGAUGGGGGACCAGCUGGGAACACCAGAAGCUAUUAAGA